Molecule: ribosomal RNA, 846 nt
Filed under: uncultured prokaryote
Description: bacterial SSU rRNA
Rfam family: Archaeal small subunit ribosomal RNA
Source: RNAcentral
GCUUAAAAGGGCCGUAGCUUGAUAAUAGGGUCCCUUGAGAAAUCCGCCGGCUUAACUGGCGGGCGUUCAGGGGAAACUUGUUUUCUAGGGACCGGGAGAGGUGAGGGGUACUGCCGGGGUAGGAGUGAAAUCCUGUAAUCCCGGUGGGACCACCUAUGGCGAAGGCAUCUCGCCAGAACGGGUCCGACAGUGAGGGACGAAAGCUGGGGGAGCAAACCGGAUUAGAUACCCGGGUAGUCCCAGCUGUAAACUAUGUGCGUUAGGUGUGUCAGUGACCACGUGUCACUGAGGUGCCGAAGGGAAACCGUGAAACGCACCGCCUGGGGAGUACGGUCGCAAGGCUGAAACUUAAAGGAAUUGGCGGGGGAGCACCACAACGGGUGGAGCCUGCGGUUUAAUCGGACUCAACGCCGGGAAUCUCACCGGAUAAGACAGCUGAAUGAUAGUCGGGAUGAAGACUCUACUUGACUAGCUGAGAGGAGGUGCAUGGCCGUCGUCAGUUCGUACUGUGAAGCAUCCUGUUUAGUCAGGCAACGAGCGAGACCCACGCGAGCAGUUGCCAGCUUGACCUUCGGGUUGAUGGGGACACUGCUCGGACCGCCUCUGCUAAAGGGGAGGAAGGACUGGGCAACGGUAGGUCAGCAUGCCCCGAAUUAUCCGGGCUACACGCGGGCUACAAUGGACAGGACAAUGAGUUUCGACACCGAGAGGUGAGGAUAAUCUUCUAACCCUGUCCCAAGUUCGGAUUGCGGGUUGUAACUCACCCGCAUGAAGCUGGAAUCCGUAGUAAUCGCGUUUCAACAUACCGCGGUGAAUAUGUCCCUGCUCCUUGCACACACCGCCCGU